GGCAACUUAGUUGGCAUGUUUGAUAUAGCAUACAUUGAUUAUGUAAAACAUCUGUUUAUGAUAUUGUUAGAAGCUUUUGUGAUAUUAAGUAUAACAUUUUGAUGUUGAGUAAUUCAUUUAUUCAAGAGAACUUGUAUUUAAAUCAUUUGGUUCUACUUGUUAGAAUGUGGCUAAAAUAAAAAUAUAUACUUGUAAUGGUAUUGAUAUUUUGUUUUUAAUGAUUCUUAAGAAUUUAAUAUAUAAAACUAUAAGAACUAUUGUUUUUACAACUCACUAUUGUUUGAUAUUGUGGUAAGUUUUUUCUAUAGACUAGUAAAAUAUAUAAUCUAUACAUUGCAAUCAAAAUUUAUGAUAUUAAUUUAUUAUCA
RNAcentral lists this long non-coding RNA (368 nucleotides) under Physcomitrium patens. Its description in RNAcentral is "long non-coding RNA (PPAT_LNC007972)". The record is from RNAcentral. Lineage: Eukaryota; Viridiplantae; Streptophyta; Bryopsida; Funariales; Funariaceae.